ACCUGUGUAGCUCAGUUGGUUAGAGCGCUGCACCGGAAUCGCAGGGCCGUAGGUUCGAUUCCUACUAGAGGAC
Molecule: transfer RNA, 73 nt
Filed under: Paramuricea clavata
Lineage: Eukaryota; Metazoa; Cnidaria; Anthozoa; Malacalcyonacea; Plexauridae
Rfam family: tRNA
About the family: Transfer RNA (tRNA) molecules are approximately 80 nucleotides in length.
Source: Rfam by way of RNAcentral